AACGAACGCUGGCGGCAUGCCUAACACAUGCAAGUCGAACGAGAUCUUCGGGUCUAGUGGCGCACGGGUGCGCAACGCGUGGGAAUCUGCCCUUUGGUUCGGAAUAACAGUUGGAAACGACUGCUAAUACCGGAUGAUGACGAAAGUCCAAAGAUUUAUCGCCAGAGGAUGAGCCGGCGUAGGAUUAGCUAGUUGGUGUGGUAAAGGCGCACCAAGGCGACGAUCCUUAGCUGGUCUGAGAGGAUGAUCAGCCACACUGGGACUGAGACACGGCCCAGACUCCUACGGGAGGCAGCAGUGGGAAAUAUUGGACAAGGGGCGAAAGCCUGAUCCAGCAAUGCCGCGUGAGUGAUGAAGGCCUUAGGGUUGUAAAGCUCUUUUACCCGGGAUGAUAAUGACAGUACCGUGAGAAUAAGCUCCGGCUAACUCCGUGCCAGCAGCCGCGGUAA
This 449-nucleotide ribosomal RNA is filed under the name uncultured bacterium. Its description in RNAcentral is "partial 16S ribosomal RNA". It matches the Rfam family "Bacterial small subunit ribosomal RNA", at positions 29 to 523 of the family's 1533-position model. The record is from RNAcentral.